AGCAGUCGCCGCGGUAAUACGGAGGGUGCAAGCGUUAAUCGGAAUUACUGGGCGUAAAGCGCACGCAGGCGGUCUGUCAAGUCGGAUGUGAAAUCCCCGGGCUCAACCUGGGAACUGCAUUCGAAACUGGCAGGCUAGAGUCUUGUAGAGGGGGGUAGAAUUCCAGGUGUAGCGGUGAAAUGCGUAGAGAUCUGGAGGAAUACCGGUGGCGAAGGCGGCCCCCUGGACAAAGACUGACGCUCAGGUGCGAAAGCGUGGGGAGCAAACAGGAUUAGAUACCCGCGUAGUCCCUGUCUCUUAUAC
RNAcentral lists this ribosomal RNA (303 nucleotides) under uncultured bacterium. Its description in RNAcentral is "partial 16S ribosomal RNA". It matches the Rfam family "Bacterial small subunit ribosomal RNA", at positions 507 to 807 of the family's 1533-position model. The record is from RNAcentral.